AAUAUAUUUUCCUUUACUACUAUUCAAAUUCUCAGCUAACCAGAGAGCUUAGAUUUAGUGUUCAACUGAAAGAGAACAAAUUUGGUGGAGUUAAUCCUAAUUACUGAAUGAGCUUGGUUUGUGCUAAUUUCAUUCUUCAGAUCACUACCUGGAAUGAACUGGAAGAGCAAACAUGUCUCCCACAUUAGUUCCACAACACAGACUAGUAGUCAACAGAAAGAGAUGUAAAGGUGACUCAUCAUUCAUACAGGAGACUGUUUAAAUGUAUGUUUAUUUUACUGAAGAUGCUAUCAAAAGAGACAUUUUCAAGAAGGCCAUACAAACCUGGAAAUGCACAUACCAUUACAAUCAGUUGUGAUUUUAGGAAGAUCUAAAAACACUGUAAAAUGUUCAGGUAUGCCCUCCUGCAUUCAUCUUUAUUACUGCCUUGAGGAAACUUUCAUGAAUCCAACAAAUGAGGGUGAGGCUGCUCUAGACUGUGCCAGCAUCUACUAAUCAACUGUGAAACUGUUGCUGUGGUCACAGAGCUCACUCACACACCUAGCCAGAUUUUGUAUGCGUGGUUUUCACUGGGUAUUGGCCUCAGAGGCAUAGACUGCACUGACAAAAGAAUC
This 614-nucleotide long non-coding RNA is filed under the name Meleagris gallopavo (turkey). Its description in RNAcentral is "lncRNA (ENSMGAG00000021485.1)". Lineage: Eukaryota; Metazoa; Chordata; Aves; Galliformes; Phasianidae. The record is from RNAcentral.